UCGAGCGAACGGAUGAGAAGCUUGCUUCUCUGAUGUUAGCGGCGGACGGGUGAGUAACACGUGGAUAACCUACCUAUAAGACUGGGAUAACUUCGGGAAACCGGAGCUAAUACCGGAUAAUAUUUUGAACCGCAUGGUUCAAAAGUGAAAGACGGUCUUGCUGUCACUUAUAGAUGGAUCCGCGCUGCAUUAGCUAGUUGGUAAGGUAACGGCUUACCAAGGCAACGAUGCAUAGCCGACCUGAGAGGGUGAUCGGCCACACUGGAACUGAGACACGGUCCAGACUCCUACGGGAGGCAGCAGUAGGGAAUCUUCCGCAAUGGGCGAAAGCCUGACGGAGCAACGCCGCGUGAGCGAUGAAGGUCUUCGGAUCGUAAAACUCUGUUAUUAGGGAAGAACAUAUGUGUAAGUAACUGUGCACAUCUUGACGGUACCUAAUCAGAAAGCCACGGCUAACUACGUGCCAGCAGCCGCGGUAAUACGUAGGUGGCAAGCGUUAUCCGGAAUUAUUGGGCGUAAAGCGCGCGUAGGCGGUUUUUUAAGUCUGAUGUGAAAGCCCACGGCUCAACCGUGGAGGGUCAUUGGAAACUGGAAAACUUGAGUGCAGAAGAGGAAAGUGGAAUUCCAUGUCUAGCGGUGAAAUGCGCAGAGAUAUGGAGGAACACCAGUGGCGAAGGCGACUUUCUGGUCUGUAACUGACGCUGAUGUGCGAAAGCGUGGGGAUCAAACAGGAUUAG
Molecule: ribosomal RNA, 737 nt
Filed under: uncultured Staphylococcus sp.
Lineage: Bacteria; Bacillati; Bacillota; Bacilli; Caryophanales; Staphylococcaceae
Description: bacterial SSU rRNA
Rfam family: Bacterial small subunit ribosomal RNA
Source: RNAcentral